Molecule: long non-coding RNA, 122 nt
Organism: Haliotis rubra (blacklip abalone)
Lineage: Eukaryota; Metazoa; Mollusca; Gastropoda; Lepetellida; Haliotidae
Exons: 3
Source: RefSeq, a predicted model, not a curated record
CACCAGAAAUAGUCUUCACACAUUGUACCCAUGUGGGGAAUCCAACCCGGGCCUUCAGCGUUACGAGCGAACGUUUUAACCACUUAGUUAACCCACUGCCCCAGAAAUUCUUAAAAAAACAC